UGCAAGUUGAGCGCUGAAGGUUGGUACUUGUACCGACUGGUAUGAGCCAGCGAACGGGUGAGUAACGCGUGGGGAAUCUGCCUUUGAGCGGGGGACAACAUUUGGAAACGAAUGCUAAUACCGCAUAAAAACUUUAAACACAAGUUUUAAGUUUGAAAGAUGCAAUUGCAUCACUCAAAGAUGAUCCCGCGUUGUAUUAGCUAGUUGGUGAGGUAAAGGCUCACCAAGGCGAUGAUACAUAGCCGACCUGAGAGGGUGAUCGGCCCUU
RNAcentral lists this ribosomal RNA (268 nucleotides) under Lactococcus lactis. Its description in RNAcentral is "partial 16S ribosomal RNA". It matches the Rfam family "Bacterial small subunit ribosomal RNA", at positions 56 to 312 of the family's 1533-position model. Lineage: Bacteria; Bacillati; Bacillota; Bacilli; Lactobacillales; Streptococcaceae. The record is from RNAcentral.